Hyaena hyaena (striped hyena) is the source of this 1556-nucleotide long non-coding RNA. RefSeq lists it as uncharacterized. NCBI's taxonomy places the organism in Eukaryota, Metazoa, Chordata, Mammalia, Carnivora, Hyaenidae. The record is from RefSeq and is a predicted model, not a curated record. The transcript has 2 exons.
GAACUCUGGGGAUUAGUCAAAUCCCUACAUUCUCCCCAUAAACACUCCGAAGCCCAGAGAGCUGACCUGGCCAGCCCAAGGUCACAGAACUAGUUCGUGUCAAGGUUGACGUUAGAAUCUGAACUCUGGCCCAGACACACGGAGUGCUGGUGAGGAAUGAUAAUUAUGAUAACAGGAACAGUAAUGAUAAUGUUUACUGAGUACUCCCUACGUGUGUGCCAGACACUAUUCUAAAAGUUUUGCAUGCAUUAAUUCCUUUAAUCCUUACCAAAACCUUAUGAGAGAGAGAUCAUCAUUAUUUCUAAUUUACAGAUGAGGAGACCGAAACUCAGAGUAAUGAAGGGACAGCUAGUGAGUAGUCAAGCCAGGACUGGAUUCUGGGAAAUGAUAUUUCAGACCUAGAACUUAUAAAACCACUGAUGUUUUCACUGCUCUGUGGUAAAAUGAAAGAAAUAAGGACAGGGCUGUGCAUUUUUCGUAUAAGCUGGAUUUAUCCCAUUUAAAACACCAACUUUUAUUAUAAUCUCUAUUUAUUUUAGAAUAUUAAAAAUUCUCUUUUAUGAGAAAUUAGAGUAUAUGGGACUUGUUGGCAUUCCACAAAUUUUGUUUUCUGAUAAAAAUAUAUUCUGGAAGCUGUUUAUGUAUAUGAAAUUGCAGAGCCUGGAAAGCACUUUCUUGCAUUAUCUGUCACUUGUGGGAAUUCUAGGAGAAAUCUUAGUUGCAUUUGUUUCCUUUGCCAGUUUCUGGUUCCUGGAAUGGGGGAGGGGGCACUUGCAGGGUGGAGAAUGACUAAAAUUUAUUAUGUUCUUUUCAUCAAUCAGGACUCAUUUGAUGGCAAAUAAAUAACAAGUACAAUGAGUAUAUAUUGGUUAAUUUACCUGAGACAUUUGGGGAUCAGUGAUUUGACUUAUGUCUUAAAUUUUAUGGCUUUGCUCUUUACCACAUAUUGGCUUAAUUCUAAGGCUCCAUGGGCCCAACAUGGCUGCCAACAGCUUCAGUCCUUUCCUGUUUCAAGUUCAGAGGGGAAAAGGAUCUCUCUCCCUAGUAGGUCCUAUGUAGGAUUGUACUUUGAUCUGCCUGAGUUACGGUGAUCCCUGAAGGAGUCACUACAGCUGGGGGUAGAUUUAUGCUACUUGGCCAGUUCUGAGUUACAUAUUAUACUCCUGAAGCUGGUGGUGGGAUCGGCUCCACUGGCAGCAUUUACUCUGAUGGAAGGAAGAAGAUGGUUCUCAAAAGGGGAAAUUAUACACUGUUGCCAAAGGAGCAGAUGCUUGAUCGUUAAGCCAGCAAAUGUAUGUCACUCACUAGGCUGGGUUCUACUCACUCAUCACUUAUUUCUUGUAACAGACAAAAAAUAACUCACCAAUGAAGAAACUGAGGCUCAGCGACACCAAUAAAUACACAAAAGUUCAAACAGCUAGUCAGAGAAGAUCCAGGAAUCAAAUUCUACUCCAACCAACUUCAAGGGCCAAGCUCUUCAGUUUUUCGUUUUUUGAAAGAACUAAGGUCAGAGGCUACCAAUUAUGUCUCACUUCGGGGUUGAAGAGAACAUAUAA